This 253-nucleotide ribosomal RNA is filed under the name uncultured Verrucomicrobium sp. RNAcentral describes it as "partial 16S ribosomal RNA". It matches the Rfam family "Bacterial small subunit ribosomal RNA", at positions 524 to 776 of the family's 1533-position model. Lineage: Bacteria; Pseudomonadati; Verrucomicrobiota; Verrucomicrobiia; Verrucomicrobiales; Verrucomicrobiaceae. The record is from RNAcentral.
UACAGAGGUCUCAAGCGUUGUUCGGAAUCACUGGGCGUAAAGGGUGCGUAGGUGGCGUGGAAAGUCAGAUGUGAAAUUCGGGGGCUCAACCUCCGGACUGCAUCCGAUACUCCCAUGCUAGAGAACUGGAGGGGAGUCUGGAAUUCUCGGUGUAGCAGUGAAAUGCGUGGAUAUCGAGAGGAACACUAGUGGCGAAGGCGAGACUCUGGACAGUAUCUGACACUGAGGCACGAAGGCCAGGGUAGCGAACGGG